GUGAAUCAUCAAAUCUUUGAACGCAAAUUGCACUCUCCUCGGAGAGUAUGCCUGUUUGAGGGUCAGCCUAUAAAAAACGACAUUGGUGGUUUUUCUCGGUGGCGUUCGGUGGGAAUUUGGUCAAUUUUAAUCCUUUUGGUUUUUAAGCGACUUAAAAUUUUCUUUUUGGUUCCAUGAACGUUUCUAAGAUCUAUUUCUUUACACUUUAAGGGUAUCGUUUUUUACUAAAGGUUACCAUCAUAU
This 243-nucleotide unclassified non-coding RNA is filed under the name Glomeraceae sp. Its description in RNAcentral is "partial contains 5.8S ribosomal RNA and internal transcribed spacer 2". The stretch from base 1 to 65 matches the Rfam family "5.8S ribosomal RNA", at positions 84 to 154 of the family's 154-position model. The record is from RNAcentral. Lineage: Eukaryota; Fungi; Glomeromycota; Glomeromycetes; Glomerales; Glomeraceae.